Molecule: ribosomal RNA, 492 nt
Filed under: uncultured bacterium
Lineage: Bacteria
Description: partial 16S ribosomal RNA
Rfam family: Bacterial small subunit ribosomal RNA
Source: RNAcentral
AGUGAACGCUGGCGGUAGGCCUAACACAUGCAAGUCGAACGGCAGCACAGUAAGAGCUUGCUCUUACGGGUGGCGAGUGGCGGACGGGUGAGGAAUACAUCGGAAUCUACUUUUUCGUGGGGGAUAACGUAGGGAAACUUACGCUAAUACCGCAUACGACCUACGGGUGAAAGCAGGGGAUCUUCGGACCUUGCGCGAUUGAAUGAGCCGAUGUCGGAGUAGCUAGUUGGCGGGGUAAAGGCCCACCAAGGCGACGAUCCGUAGCUGGUCUGAGAGGAUGAUCAGCCACACUGGAACUGAGACACGGUCCAGACCCCUACGGGAGGCAGCAGUGGGGAAUAUUGGACAAUGGGCGCAAGCCUGAUCCAGCCAUACCGCGUGGGUGAAGAAGGCCUUCGGGUUGUAAAGCCCUUUUGUUGGGAAAGAAAAGCAGCAGGUUAAUACCCCGCUGUUCUGACGGUACCCAAAGAAUAAGCACCGGCUAACUUCGUG